AUGAACGCUGGCGGCGUGCCUAAUACAUGCAAGUCGAGCGAACGGACGAGAAGCUUGCUUCUCUGAUGUUAGCGGCGGACGGGUGAGUAACACGUGGAUAACCUACCUAUAAGACUGGGAUAACUUCGGGAAACCGGAGCUAAUACCGGAUGAUAUUUUGAACCGCAUGGUUCAAAAGUGAAAGACGGUCUUGCUGUCACUUAUAGAUGGAUCCGCGCUGCAUUAGCUAGUUGGUAAGGUAACGGCUUACCAAGGCAACGAUGCAUAGCCGACCUGAGAGGGUGAUCGGCCACCCUGGAACUGAGACACGGUCCAGACUCCUACGGGAGGCAGCAGUAGGGAAUCUUCCGCAAUGGGCGAAAGCCUGACGGAGCAACGCCGCGUGAGUGAUGAAGGUCUUCGGAUCGUAAAACUCUGUUAUUAGGGAAGAACAUAUGUGUAAGUAACUGUGCACAUCUUGACGGUACCUAAUCAGAAAGCCACGGCUAACUACGUG
RNAcentral lists this ribosomal RNA (496 nucleotides) under uncultured bacterium. RNAcentral describes it as "partial 16S ribosomal RNA". It matches the Rfam family "Bacterial small subunit ribosomal RNA", at positions 29 to 507 of the family's 1533-position model. The record is from RNAcentral.